Long non-coding RNA from Etheostoma cragini (Arkansas darter), 74 nucleotides. RefSeq lists it as uncharacterized. The record is from RefSeq and is a predicted model, not a curated record. The transcript is spliced from 3 exons. Lineage: Eukaryota; Metazoa; Chordata; Actinopteri; Perciformes; Percidae.
GAACAAGCAGUGACCACUAAAAAGUUUAAUUACAACUAAAUCUGGGUUUACAGUGCAGGGUUAGUCCCAUGGAG